UACGAAGGGAGCUAGCGUUGUUCGGAAUCACUGGGCGUAAAGCGCACGUAGGCGGAUGUGUCAGUCAGGGGUGAAACCCCGGAGCUCAACUUCGGAACUGCCUUUGAUACAGCACGUCUUGAGUCCGAUAGAGGUGGGUGGAAUUCCUAGUGUAGAGGUGAAAUUCGUAGAUAUUAGGAAGAACACCGGUGGCGAAGGCGGCCCACUGGAUCGGUACUGACGCUGAGGUGCGAAAGCGUGGGGAGCAAACAGG
This 253-nucleotide ribosomal RNA is filed under the name uncultured bacterium. RNAcentral describes it as "partial 16S ribosomal RNA". It matches the Rfam family "Bacterial small subunit ribosomal RNA", at positions 524 to 776 of the family's 1533-position model. The record is from RNAcentral.